GUCCUGUUGAUUAUAAUUUCAGGUCUGACCUGCUCUAUGAGGGAUUAAAUGGCCGCGGUAUAUUGACCGUGCAAAGGUAGCAUAAUCAUUAGUUUUUUAAUUGAAAGCUUGCAUGAAAGGUUUGAUGAAGGGGUUUCUGUCUCUUGUAAAUUUUUUUAGAAUUUUAUUUUUAAGUCAAAAAGCUUAAAUGAUUAUAGAAGACGAGAAGACCCUAUAGAGUUUAAUAUUUUAACUAAAAUUAAUUUUUAAGUAUUAAAUUUGUGUUUUAAGAAAAGUAUUUUGUUGGGGUGAUAAAAAAAUUAAAUAAACUUUUUUUGUAUUUUUACAUUGAUGUAUGAGUUUUUGAGCCUAAAAUUUAGAUUAUAAGAAUAAAUUACCUUAGGGAUAACAGCGUAAUUUUCUUUAGAGUACUGAUCGAAUAGAAAGAUUGCGACCUCGAUGUUGGAUUAAAAUUAAUUAGUGGAGUAGAAGCUACUAUAUUAGGUCUGUUCGACCUUUAAAAUUUUACAUGAUCUGAGUUUAAACCGGCGUAAG
This 534-nucleotide ribosomal RNA is filed under the name Trigonopterus sp. 807 AR-2022a. RNAcentral describes it as "partial large subunit ribosomal RNA". It matches the Rfam family "Bacterial large subunit ribosomal RNA", at positions 1819 to 2625 of the family's 2925-position model. Lineage: Eukaryota; Metazoa; Arthropoda; Insecta; Coleoptera; Curculionidae. The record is from RNAcentral.